GACGUAGGGUGCGAGCGUUGUCCGGAUUUAUUGGGCGUAAAGAGCUCGUAGGCGGCUUGUUGCGUCGACUGUGAAAACCCGCGGCUUAACCGCGGGCUUGCAGUUGAUACGGGCAGGCUAGAGUUCGGUAGGGGAGACUGGAAUUCCAGGUGUAGCGGUGAAAUGCGUAGAUAUCUGGAGGAACACCGGUGGCGAAGGCGGCAUCCUGGACCGACACUGACACUGAGGAGCGAAAGCCAGGGGAGCAAACGGG
RNAcentral lists this ribosomal RNA (253 nucleotides) under uncultured bacterium. RNAcentral's name for it is "partial 16S ribosomal RNA". It matches the Rfam family "Bacterial small subunit ribosomal RNA", at positions 524 to 776 of the family's 1533-position model. The record is from RNAcentral.